AGAAUGGCCGUGGGAGGAAAUGCCCGCGGUUUGACGGUACCUCCAGAGGAAGCACCGGCUAACUCUGUGCCAGCAGCCGCGGUAAUACAGAGGGUGCGAGCGUUGUUCGGAAUUACUGGGCGUAAAGCGCGCGCAGGCGGCCUUUUAAGUCUACCCGUGAAAUGCCGGAGCUCAACUCCGUGCACGCCGGGGGAUACUGGGAGGCUGGAGACAGGUAGAGGCAAGCGGAAUUCCGGGUGUAGCGGUGGAAUGCGUAGAGAUCCGGAAGAACACCUGAGGCGAAGGCGGCUUGCUGGGCCUGAUCUGACGCUGAGGCGCGAAAGCGUGGGGAGCAAACAGGAUUAGAUACCCUGGUAGUCCACGCCGUAAACGAUGGGCACUAGACGCGGGUGGGAUCGACCCCUUCCGUGUCGCAGCUAACGCGAUAAGUGCCCCGCCUGGGGAGUACGGCCGCAAGGCUGAAACUCAAAGGAAUUGACGGGGGCCCGCACAAGCAGCGGAGCAUGUGGUUUAAUUCGAAGCAACGCGAAGAACCUUACCUGGGCUUGACAUGCUGGUGAAACCUCGGUGAAAGCCGAGGCCCUCUUCGGAGCACCAGCACAGGUGCUGCAUGGCUGUCG
RNAcentral lists this ribosomal RNA (620 nucleotides) under uncultured bacterium. Its description in RNAcentral is "bacterial SSU rRNA". It matches the Rfam family "Bacterial small subunit ribosomal RNA", at positions 446 to 1054 of the family's 1533-position model. The record is from RNAcentral.